GGCUGGCUAUCAUGUGUUUGAAGAUACCCUAAACUUAACCUUAGAAAACCCAAAACAGUUACUAUAGGUCUUGACUCAGAAAAUUCAUAUAUGCUUCCUUACUAAUGAGACUUUCUAUACAACAAAGUGAGGUCAUUCUUUGUUGAUUUAUACCAUAAGGGGCUGGCUAUCAUGUGUUUGAAGAUACCCAAAACUUAACCUAACAAAACCCAAAACAGUUACAAUAGGUCUUGACUCAGAAAAUUCAUAAAUGCUUCCUUACUAAUGAGACUUUCUAUAAAACAAAGUAAAGUCAUUCUUUGUUGAUUUACACCAUAAGGGGCUGGCUAUCAUGUGUUUGAAGAUACCCUAAACUUAACCUAACAAAACCCAAAACAGUUACAAUAGGUCUUGACUCAGAAAAUUCAUAUAUGCUUCCUUACUAAUGAGACUUUCUAUACAACAAAGUGAGGUCAUUCUUUGUUGAUUUAUACCAUAAGGUGCUGGCUAUCGUGUUUGAAGAUACCCAAAACUUAACCUUACAAAACCCAAAACAGUUACAAUAGGUCUUGACUCAGAAAAUUCAUAUAUGCUUCCUUACUAAUGAGACUUUUUAUACAACAAAGUGAGGUCAUUCUUUGUUGAUCUAUACCAUAAGGUGCUGGCUAUCAUGUUUGAAGAUACCCAAAACUUAACCUAACAAAACCCAAAACAGUU
Molecule: long non-coding RNA, 696 nt
Organism: Eriocheir sinensis (Chinese mitten crab)
Lineage: Eukaryota; Metazoa; Arthropoda; Malacostraca; Decapoda; Varunidae
Exons: 3
Source: RefSeq, a predicted model, not a curated record